GAUGAACGCUAGCGGCAGGCCUAAUACAUGCAAGUCGAACGGUAAGGCCCUUUCGGGGGUACACGAGUGGCGGACGGGUGCGUAACGCGUAUGCAACAUGCCUUCCAGCGGGGGAUAUACCAGGGAAACUUGGCGCAAUACCCCAUAGAAUUACGGGACCGCAUGGUCUUGUGAUUAAAACUCCGGUGCUGGGAGAUUGGCAUGCGUGACAUUAGCUAGUUGGCGGGGUAACGGCCCACCAAGGCGACGAUGUCUAGCUGGUCUGAGAGGAUGAUCAGCCACACUGGGACUGAGACACGGCCCAGACUCCUACGGGAGGCAGCAGUGGGGAAUAUUGGACAAUGGGCGCAAGCCUGAUCCAGCAAUGCCGCGUGGGUGAAGAAGGCCUCGG
This 391-nucleotide ribosomal RNA is filed under the name uncultured bacterium. Its description in RNAcentral is "bacterial SSU rRNA". It matches the Rfam family "Bacterial small subunit ribosomal RNA", at positions 28 to 420 of the family's 1533-position model. The record is from RNAcentral.